This 636-nucleotide long non-coding RNA is filed under the name Fukomys damarensis (Damara mole-rat). Its description in RNAcentral is "lncRNA (ENSFDAG00000031379.1)". The record is from RNAcentral. Lineage: Eukaryota; Metazoa; Chordata; Mammalia; Rodentia; Bathyergidae.
GAUUUGCCAGAGGGAACGGACCUCGUGCCCUCCCUCCUCGCGCUUUCCGGAUGUGGCAGUUUGGCUUCUAUCGCCCGAACCAAAUCCCUGCAAAACCCCAACAGGGACCCCAAAAAGCGAAGUCCCCGCCGGGGGCCCGUCCCACAUCAGCAGGAGAGGAAAUGAGCACAGCCCCCCCUGCGGAUCCCGAGGACACUGCGGGGAGGGCUGUCUGGGAUAAUCAUCCACUCACUUCCGAUCUCACAAGCCCCACCGGAUUCGUCCCUCAUCUCAGAUAUUCCUGUGUGUUUAAUGUGUAGCAAGCGAGCGGAAGACGGCCAGAUGGGCGUGGUUUCUGGCCCUGCAGCAAGAAGCGUUGUGAAGGUGCGGGAGGGGCAGGGCCUCUGCGCGUCCUGGCCCUGGCUACAGACAGACCCCUUGCCCUUGGGACACAGCCUUGGCCUCCUGUUACUGCUGCCCUCCUCCCUGGGCGCUCGCUGCCCCCUGUGGCCCGUGUCCGGCUCUGUACCUGCAGGACCUAGGUGACAGCACGCCUGUCAUCGGCUCUGGGAGGCUGAGGCAGGAGGAUCUUGAGCUUGAGCCCAGCCCGGGCAACUCAGUGAAACUCUGUCUCAAAAUAAACCAACUAAAAAAGGC